CAAUAUAAUAAGAGGAGCCCUUGGUAGAGAUUGAAUCAUGGAAUUGUUCAUGGCUCCCACCCUCAUUCCAAUAAAGUUUUCAUCUUUCUUCUUCCCUUUUGAUUCUCCUUGUGUUAGAAACCAAAGCUUGUACAGUUCGCAUAGAAGGAGGCGACAGGUUUGAGGCAAUGACUGCAAUACUUACAAAAAAUAUAAGUGAUCAAGUGCGACAUACUGUCAAUCCAUAAAUCCACUAAAUGCGAACCGCUCCAGAUAUCGUCUUCAGUUUUGGAUGACUUGACUUGAACAUUCAUUUUCAACUAACCUGAAGAUUGCAUUGCAGCCUUUGGUUUUGAUUCUUUGAAUGAUUUUGACUGUUGUGCGCGGCGGAAGCUUCGAGGAGUGACACGAACAAUUCAAGAGAUAAACCAUAACCAAUAAGCAAAUCACAACCACAACAAGAACAAACGAUUUACGUGGUUCGGCAAGUUGUCUACGUCCACAGAUUGUUGCCUCAAGCUUGUUGCCUCCCUCUAUGUGAACUAGAGAGUACAAUGCCUGAUUUCAAGUAAUGCAGCAACCGUCAUACAAAAGUAGACUUUUGCUGAUCAUGAAAAGCUUAUCAAAGAGAUGGUCUUUCUGGAGAGUUGGUGAGGAACAUGACUAGGAGAGUAAGUGGAGCUGAAAUAGGUACUAUGUCUGCAUGUGAUUUACUUUCAUACAAUAUAAACAUGAAUUAUGUCAUGUACAUAUUCAUAUUGGACAAACAUAAGUUCAGAUUUGUAUCUGGUUCAGAUACUUGAUUGAUGUUCGGAAGGAAAAAUGAGGUCAACCGACUCAACCCCCAUGUUUAAUCUAUAUGCUAAUGUAAAAGUUCUUUUUAGCUACGUGCACCUUUUACGUUCUCGUAUAUUCUAAUAUAUAAUAAGUUAUUAAAUAUGUGCUUGGAUAUUUGGGAUAGUUCAGCACUAUCCACUAUCAAUAGGAUA
Molecule: long non-coding RNA, 968 nt
Organism: Asparagus officinalis (garden asparagus)
Lineage: Eukaryota; Viridiplantae; Streptophyta; Magnoliopsida; Asparagales; Asparagaceae
Exons: 6
Source: RefSeq, a predicted model, not a curated record